RNAcentral lists this ribosomal RNA (532 nucleotides) under uncultured bacterium. RNAcentral's name for it is "partial 16S ribosomal RNA". It matches the Rfam family "Bacterial small subunit ribosomal RNA", at positions 355 to 902 of the family's 1533-position model. The record is from RNAcentral.
UGGGGAAUGAUUGCACAAUGGGCGAAAGCCUGAUGCAGCAACGCCGCGUGAGUGAUGAAGGCCUUCGGGUUGUAAAGCUCUGUCUUUUGGGACGAUAAUGACGGUACCAAAGGAGGAAGCCACGGCUAACUACGUGCCAGCAGCCGCGGUAAUACGUAGGUGGCAAGCGUUGUCCGGAUUUACUGGGCGUAAAGGAUGCGUAGGCGGACUUUUAAGUGAGAUGUGAAAUACCCGGGCUUAACUUGGGUGCUGCAUUUCAAACUGGGAAUCUAGAGUGCGGGAGAGGAGAAUGGAAUUCCUAGUGUAGCGGUGAAAUGCGUAGAGAUUAGGAAGAACACCAGUGGCGAAGGCGAUUCUCUGGACCGUAACUGACGCUGAGGCAUGAAAGCGUGGGUAGCAAACAGGAUUAGAUACCCUGGUAGUCCACGCCGUAAACGAUGAGUACUAGGUGUAGGAGGUAUCGACCCCUUCUGUGCCGCAGUUAACACAAUAAGUACUCCGCCUGGGAAGUACGAUCGCAAGAUUAAAACUC